Molecule: unclassified non-coding RNA, 519 nt
Filed under: uncultured Glomeromycotina
Lineage: Eukaryota; Fungi; Glomeromycota
Description: SSU rRNA
Rfam family: Eukaryotic small subunit ribosomal RNA
Source: RNAcentral
CCAAUAGCGUAUAUUAAAGUUGCUGCAGUUAAAAAGCUCGUAGUUGAAUUUCGGGAUCAAUGUGUUGGUCGUGCCUCGGUACGUACUAGCUUAUUGGUUUCUUCCUUCUGACGAACCAUAAUGUCAUUUAUUUGGUGUUAUGGGGAAUCAGGACUGUUACUUUGAAAAAAUUAGAGUGUUUAAAGCAGGCUCACGCUUGAAUACAUUAGCAUGGAAUAAUGAAAUAGGACGUUUGAUUCUAUUUUGUUGGUUUCUAGGAUCGACGUAAUGAUUAAUAGGGAUAGUUGGGGGCAUUAGUAUUCAAUUGUCAGAGGUGAAAUUCUUGGAUUUAUUGAAGACUAACUACUGCGAAAGCAUUUGCCAAGGAUGUUUUCAUUAAUCAAGAACGAAAGUUAGGGGAUCGAAGACGAUCAGAUACCGUCGUAGUCUUAACCAUAAACUAUGCCGACUAGGGAUCGGAUGAUGUUAAUUUUUUAAUGACUCAUUCGGCGCCUUACGGGAAACCAAAGUGUUGGGUUC